UUCCCACUCUUGAAAAUAUGAAGAAAAGAUGUCCUUUCAGCAAUAAUGGGUUAUGGUUGAUUAACUGAGAAGGUUGUAUUAAACGUUCUCUAGUAGAAAUGGCUAAAGAGCAUGCUUUUUGAGAAGUGUAUCAUCUAGGAAGAAAAUCAAAUGGAGUAUUGGUAAUUAAAUUGUAAUUCCAUGAAGGAAGGAAGUGGUGCAAAAGAUGAAGCUAACUAUUCCUGUUUUUCUUUUUAAGAGUCUGCAAUUCAUAAUGGAGCUACUGUACUGGCUAUUGGAAGGAGGAGAUUCUGAAGAUAAGGAGGUAAAACCUGUUUAGAAAUUAAAAAUGAGUUACGAUUUAAAGAAAAUUCAGAUGACUCAUUGUGAGUGCUAGUUCUCUUGUAGGAUGCCACUGGAAAUGUUGAAAUGAAAAAUAUUCAGCCGUUGGUCUUUGAAAUUUCCUGUGAUGUGUUUCAAUCUAGAUGCAAAGAACAUGGAAAAAUCAAAGUGCUCGAGUGGUUUAAAUAUGUUUUGGGUAUUCCUGUUUAUAGACUAUAAUACUUUUCCAAUUAAAAUCCUCAGUUGUCACGCAGAAGAAGGUUAAGCUGUAUUUGAUUGCCAGUUUUACUGAAAA
RNAcentral lists this long non-coding RNA (616 nucleotides) under Homo sapiens (human). RNAcentral describes it as "HSALNT0386197". Lineage: Eukaryota; Metazoa; Chordata; Mammalia; Primates; Hominidae. The record is from RNAcentral.